AUUGAACGCUGGCGGCAGGCCUAACACAUGCAAGUCGAGCGGAAACGAUGAGAGCUUGCUCUCAGGCGUCGAGCGGCGGACGGGUGAGUAAUGCCUAGGAAUCUGCCUAGUAGUGGGGGAUAACGUUCGGAAACGGACGCUAAUACCGCAUACGUCCUACGGGAGAAAGUGGGGGAUCUUCGGACCUCACGCUAUUAGAUGAGCCUAGGUCGGAUUAGCUAGUUGGUGAGGUAAUGGCUCACCAAGGCGACGAUCCGUAACUGGUCUGAGAGGAUGAUCAGUCACACUGGAACUGAGACACGGUCCAGACUCCUACGGGAGGCAGCAGUGGGGAAUAUUGGACAAUGGGCGAAAGCCUGAUCCAGCCAUGCCGCGUGUGUGAAGAAGGUCUUCGGAUUGUAAAGCACUUUAAGUUGGGAGGAAGGGCAGUAAGUUAAUACCUUGCUGUUUUGACGUUACCGACAGAAUAAGCACCGGCUAACUCUGUGCCAGCAGCCGCAGUAA
This 504-nucleotide ribosomal RNA is filed under the name uncultured bacterium. Its description in RNAcentral is "bacterial SSU rRNA". It matches the Rfam family "Bacterial small subunit ribosomal RNA", at positions 30 to 523 of the family's 1533-position model. The record is from RNAcentral.